Molecule: long non-coding RNA, 1419 nt
Filed under: Dromaius novaehollandiae (emu)
Lineage: Eukaryota; Metazoa; Chordata; Aves; Casuariiformes; Dromaiidae
Description: lncRNA (ENSDNVG00000002721.1)
Source: RNAcentral
GGAGGGGAGGGGGGGGCUUUGGUGGCCGGGCAGCGGCUGGCGCGCGGGGCCGGGACUUGGCAGGGGAAGCGGGGCCGUCCUGCCCGCUCCGGCGGCCUCGUUUCUCCCGCGGGCACGUAGCGGGAUCAGCGCCGCGGCCCCGGGACAAGGCGCCUUUCUUCCCCGCGGCGAGCGGGGCCAACGCGAGCUUUUCCCUGGGAGCUUGGGGCUGGCGAUGGAGUGAUUUACUUAUAUUAGCGCCUUCUCCCCCCUCCCCGGUGCGAUCCUGCCCGCUCAAACACCUCCUGCUCCGCUCAGCCCCAUACAACGGGACGGGAUCCAUCCUACGGGAUGGGAUCCAUCAUCCCACCCAGCCUGGGAUGGUCCCAGGGCAGGUGCCUCCCGCGAGCUGCUCGCCGCAGGAUCCCGGCGGGGUGAAACGGGUGUUUUGGGGCCACAAUCCUGUUUUGGCUGAAUUAGGACCUGGCCUCCACCACCGCAUGGUCUGAGCGCCCUCGACGUGCUCCGAUCGCCGAUGGCUACGUGCGGGUGGAUGACGGCCACCUCUCACCUCCCGCCUUCCCGCUGCCCGGGCUCCCCGGACGCGUGGGUCAGGCUCGCAGGCCCGUCCCCGAGCCCUCCUGCCCAGGCUGGGUCACCACCGGGUGCCCCCCACCACGAGAGGAGGCCAGGAGCAGUUUCACGGUGACCCAAGGUGGGCAGUCAGGUCCUUUCGGGAGGAGAUGCAUGAUGUGGGGUGGCAUAGGGAGUCUGCUGGAGGUUGCGUGCCACCACCAGCGUCCUCCUGCCAUCGCAUGUGGCCUCCUGGCUUGUGUGGCUCUACGGGGAGCUUCACCUGGUAUCUGCAUAGCCAGGAAGCACUUGGAUCUCAGCGUCUAGCGCCGGGAUAUACCAAUUACGCCGUUAUUCUCAGUGUCACUAUAAGCGGGAGCGAAUGCGGUAUUAAACUGCCUCUGCGUUGGAUUUAAAGGGAGGAGAAAAGCAAAAUCCUCUUAGCCCUGGUAAACUGUAAAGUGCUCAGUGUGGGAAAGACCAGCUGUGCGUUUGCUGAUGCUAGUGAAACUCUUGGGCUGGCUUUAACCACCACAGCCCUUGUUUUCCUCUGGUUUUUAUCGUGUUGGCCAGCACGUGAGCUUGGGUAGCUGGUUCUGCUGGGAAACGAACAGGUCAGGGCCCCGGACGGUCCCGCAGGCUCUUGGGAAGCGAUGGGGCCGAGCAACUCGGGCCAACGCAAAGCGGCGGGACCGGCGAAAGGCAAAAUAUCUCCAAUUUGGCUGUAACCCGGGAAGGGAGACUGACUGGAAACUUAAAGAUGGGAGGCAACUUGGCCCAGAACAAGCGUUGAGUGACCAAGGUCACAACCCUUACGAAGGGAUGGGGAAGAACAGGAAAAUAAAGACAAAGCACCCGGGGACGGCA